UUGCCAAUGCGAACUGAAUAAACAUUCAGAAUAAUUAAGAUGUAUAAAAUUGAUUUAUAAAUGAAAACACAAAUUAAUAUAUACUUACUUGCGGUAAAACGGGACCAAAUAACAAUCUUUGAUGCUCCCUUUCAACUUAUCUUUUAAGUAAUGAAGGAUAUUGUUUCUGUCGAGCCGCGAGUAAGACCAAUGUGCGUCAAAUCUAAGAUGCAAUACUUGUUUUGAAGUUUCAUUUCAACACAUAACUCAUGGAUGUACCUGUAAGAGCAAAUCUUUAUGUUAAAGUAGAAUAAUAUAUGAAUAUAAAUAGAGAUCAACAUAAAAACUAUACUUAUGAGGACUAAAUUUGUAAUACGAAAUUGUCUAGGUACAUAUUUCCCAACAAAAAUUCAUGGACAGAAAUCCUAGAAAAUACGAAUAACUGAGUUGGAUCAUGACUUAAUGUAAUACCCAUGCAUGGUUCUGGAAUACUGUUAACGAUCAUUCCUAGUCUCUCAAUGUUAUCUACUUUUGACGGUGUGGGUUCAAUACUGCUAUGGUUGGCAUAAAAACUUUCUUUCGUGCUUGUACCACCCGUAACUUUCUGAACUUCAUUCUCUCAAAUUUCUAACUGAUUUGAAUUUGUGUAGAUUAAUAUACCUAACGAAUUCAAUUUCUACAUCAUAAAAACAACAUAAAUACAAUCCAAAAUUAAAAUACACAAACAAUAAUAACAACAACAUACAAAUUAUACCUCAAACACAUCACGGGUACACUUCUUAGACACAUUCUCCUCAGUCAUCCUCUCUCACUCUUCCCGCUCCU
Molecule: long non-coding RNA, 804 nt
Filed under: Lathyrus oleraceus (garden pea)
Lineage: Eukaryota; Viridiplantae; Streptophyta; Magnoliopsida; Fabales; Fabaceae
Description: Pisum sativum (pea) long non-coding RNA (PSAT_LNC020079)
Source: RNAcentral